CCGGAAUCUGGUCCUCGCGCGACUUCUUCCCCGUGUCCUGGCUUCGGGGUGGCAGGCGUGACCCAUCCCUGCCCCCACACCGACCUCGCCCACGCCCUGG
RNAcentral lists this small RNA (100 nucleotides) under Deinococcus gobiensis I-0. Its description in RNAcentral is "hypothetical noncoding RNA". The record is from RNAcentral. Lineage: Bacteria; Thermotogati; Deinococcota; Deinococci; Deinococcales; Deinococcaceae.